Molecule: ribosomal RNA, 468 nt
Filed under: uncultured bacterium
Lineage: Bacteria
Description: partial 16S ribosomal RNA
Rfam family: Bacterial small subunit ribosomal RNA
Source: RNAcentral
GACGAACGCUGGCGGCGUGCUUAACACAUGCAAGUCGAACGGAAAGGCCCUGCUCUUGUGGGGUGCUCGAGUGGCGAACGGGUGAGUAACACGUGAGUAACCUGCCCUUGACUUUGGGAUAACUUCAGGAAACUGGGGCUAAUACCGGAUAGGAGCUCCUGCUGCAUGGUGGGGGUUGGAAAGUUUCGGCGGUUGGGGAUGGACUCGCGGCUUAUCAGCUGGUUGGUGGGGUAGUGGCUUACCAAGGCUUUGACGGGUAGCCGGCCUGAGAGGGUGACCGGCCACCUUGGGACUGAGAUACGGACCAGACUCCUACGGGAGGCAGCAGUGGGGAAUAUUGCACAAUGGGCGGAAGCCUGAUGCAGCAACGCCGCGUGCGGGAUGACGGCCUUCGGGUUGUAAACCGCUUUCGCCUGUGACGAAGCGUGAGUGACGGUAAUGGGUAAAGAAGCACCGGCUAACUACGUG